RNAcentral lists this ribosomal RNA (253 nucleotides) under uncultured bacterium. RNAcentral's name for it is "partial 16S ribosomal RNA". It matches the Rfam family "Bacterial small subunit ribosomal RNA", at positions 524 to 776 of the family's 1533-position model. The record is from RNAcentral.
UACGUAGGGACCAAGCGUUGUUCGGAUUUACUGGGCGUAAAGGGCGCGUAGGCGGCAAUUCAAGUCAUCUGUGAAAUCUCCGGGCUUAACUCGGAACGGUCAGGUGAAGCUGCUUUGCUAGAGUGCGGAAGGGGCAAUCGGAAUUCUCGGUGUAGCGGUGAAAUGCGCAGAUAUCAGGAAGAACACCAAUGGCGAAGGCAGCUCUCUGGGACGGUACUGACGCUGAGACGCGAAAGCGUGGGGAGCGAACAGG